UACGGAGGGAGCUAGCGUUGUUCGGAAUUACUGGGCGUAAAGGGCGCGUAGGCGGCCGCCUAAGUCAGACGUGAAAUCCCUCGGCUCAACCGGGGAACUGCGUCUGAUACUGGGCGGCUUGAAUUCGGGAGAGGGAUGCGGAAUUCCAGGUGUAGCGGUGAAAUGCGUAGAUAUCUGGAGGAACACCGGUGGCGAAGGCGGCAUCCUGGACCGAGAUUGACGCUGAGGCGCGAAAGCCAGGGGAGCAAACGGG
This 253-nucleotide ribosomal RNA is filed under the name uncultured bacterium. Its description in RNAcentral is "partial 16S ribosomal RNA". It matches the Rfam family "Bacterial small subunit ribosomal RNA", at positions 524 to 776 of the family's 1533-position model. The record is from RNAcentral.